GUGUCAGCCGCCGCGGUAAGACGUAGGGACCGAGCGUUGUCCGGAUUCAUUGGGCGUAAAGCGCGCGCAGGCGGCUACGCAGGUCGGGUGUGAAAACCAGAGGCUCAACCUCUGGCCUGCACCCGAAACCGCGUGGCUAGAGGCAGGUAGGGGAGAUCGGAAUUCCUGGUGUAGCGGUGAAAUGCGCAGAUAUCAGGAGGAACACCGGUGGCGAAGGCGGAUCUCUGGGCCUGUCCUGACGCUGAGGUGCGAAAGCUAGGGGAGCAAACAGGAUUAGAAACCCUUGUAGUCC
RNAcentral lists this ribosomal RNA (292 nucleotides) under uncultured bacterium. Its description in RNAcentral is "partial 16S ribosomal RNA". It matches the Rfam family "Bacterial small subunit ribosomal RNA", at positions 505 to 796 of the family's 1533-position model. The record is from RNAcentral.